GCGUACGUGGUUCGGGUGGGCGGAGGGAUAGGGAGGGUGAGAGGGUUGUCGGGAAUUAUGGGGCGUGAAGGGCGCGGGUGCGGCCUGUGUGGUCGGAGGGGAGAGCCCGGGGCGUAACCCCGGGUCUGCAUUCGAUACGGGCAGGCUGGAGUGUGGUAGGGGGGAUCGGAAUUCCUGGUGUAGCGGUGAAAUGCGCAGAUAUCAGGAGGAACACCGGUGGCGAAGGCGGAUCUCUGGGCCAUUACUGACGCUGAGGAGCGAAAGCGUGGGGAGCGAACAGGAUUAGAUACCCCAGUAGUC
Molecule: ribosomal RNA, 300 nt
Filed under: uncultured Desulfoluna sp.
Lineage: Bacteria; Pseudomonadati; Thermodesulfobacteriota; Desulfobacteria; Desulfobacterales; Desulfolunaceae
Description: bacterial SSU rRNA
Rfam family: Bacterial small subunit ribosomal RNA (bases 52-300)
Source: RNAcentral